AUUCUUAUUAAUAAGUUUGAAUUUUUAAUUUGAUACAGGAGAAAAUGUAGUGUUUAAACCAGUAGCGGGUAACUUUAAACAUGGGUUCUAUGGGAAACCAACUAUUUGAUAAAUGUCUCAUGAAUUUGAAAUGAUGACAAGUGUUGAGACUUAAUUUAUAUGGUUAUGGGUAGCCUAACAGAGGUUAUUUUGGAAUGGAAUCGAGAAGAAUUUGAUAGAAUAGGACCCGAUUUUUGGGUAGCUAAUGAACUUGAUACUUAGACUCAUGUUUGUGAUAAUAUAGAUUGAUCGAAAGGAGUCGUACGGACUGAUUGAAUUGACGGCUUGGUAUUUCGACACGAGUACGAGACCGCAGGUGACGUUGGUGAGGAUUAUGGUAGCUAGAGAGCACGAGUUGAAAGUUCCUGGUGAGCCCCGCACUUGUCCGCGUGGGCGAAGAGUCUAUUAUUUAUUAUAGUCUUUCUUUUGAACCCUUAGAGUUGCUCCAUAGUCAUUUGAUUUAUUCCAUGAGUAUUCUUUAUUCAUUAUAGACUGGUGACUAGUAUUAGACGUUUUUCCCGUAUUUCAGAGAUGUUUUAGUAUCAUUAUGUUGAAAAAGGGUUGAUUGCAUUUAGUUUGGUUGAGAUUGGAUGUUUCUAUUGUUGAUUUUGAGACAGGAAAGUUUUGGAUAGUCAUAAAAACAGGGGAAACUCUAUCCGAUUUUCUAUAAA
Molecule: long non-coding RNA, 710 nt
Organism: Lycium ferocissimum
Lineage: Eukaryota; Viridiplantae; Streptophyta; Magnoliopsida; Solanales; Solanaceae
Exons: 2
Source: RefSeq, a predicted model, not a curated record